CKCAGGAGACUCUGAUGCAGCGAUGCCGCGUGAGUGAAGAAGGCCCUUGGGUUGUAAAGCUCUUUCGUCGGGGAAGAAAAUGACUGUACCCGAAUAAGAAGGUCCGGCUAACUUCGUGCCAGCAGCCGCGGUAUACGAAGGGACCUAGCGUAGUUCGGAAUUACUGGGCUUAAAGAGUUCGUAGGUGGUUGAAAAAGUUAGUGGUGAAAUCCCAGAGCUUAACUCUGGAACUGCCAUUAAAACUUUUCAGCUAGAGUAUGAUAGAGGAAAGCAGAAUUUCUAGUGUAGAGGUGAAAUUCGUAGAUAUUAGAAAGAAUACCAAUUGCGAAGGCAGCUUUCUGGAUCAUUACUGACACUGAGGAACGAAAGCAUGGGUAGCGAAGAGGAUUAGAUACCCUCGUAGUCCAUGCCGUAAACGAUGUGUGUUAGACGUUGGAAAUUUAUUUUCAGUGUCGCAGGGAAACCGAUAAACACACCGCCUGGGGAGUACGACCGCAAGGUUAAAACUCAAAUGAAUUGACGGGGACCCGCACAAGCGGUGGAGCAUGUGGUUUAAUUCGACGCAACGCGCAGAACCUUACCAACCCUUGACAUACUUGUCGCGGAUUCCAGAGAUGGAUUCCUUCAGUUCGGCUGGACAAUGUACAGGUGCUGCAUGGCUGUCGUCAGCUCGUGUCGUGAGAUGUUCGGUUAAGUCCGGCAACGAGCGCAACCCACGUCCUUAGUUACCAGCAUUUAGUUGGGUACCCUAAGGAGACUGCCGGUGAUAAGCCGGAGGAAGGUGUGUA
This 788-nucleotide ribosomal RNA is filed under the name uncultured Pelagibacterales bacterium. RNAcentral's name for it is "bacterial SSU rRNA". It matches the Rfam family "Bacterial small subunit ribosomal RNA", at positions 372 to 1179 of the family's 1533-position model. Lineage: Bacteria; Pseudomonadati; Pseudomonadota; Alphaproteobacteria; Candidatus Pelagibacterales. The record is from RNAcentral.